GAUGAAGAACGUAGCGAAAUGCGAUAAGUAGUGUGAAUUGCAGAAUUCCGUGAAUCAUCGAAUCUUUGAACGCACAUUGCGCCCCCUGGUAUUCCGGGGGGCAUGCCUGUCCGAGCGUCAUUGCUGCCCUCAAGCCCGGCUUGUGUGUUGGGUCUCGUCCCCCUUCCCGGGGGGACGGGCCCGAAAGGCAGCGGCGGCACCGCGUCCGGUCCUCGAGCGUAUGGGGCUUUGUCACCCGCUCUGUAGGCCCGGCCGGCGCUUGCCGAUCAACCAAAACUUUUUUCCAGGUUGACCUCGGAUCAGGUAGGGAUACCCGCUGAACUUAAGCAUAUCAAUAAGCGGAGGA
RNAcentral lists this unclassified non-coding RNA (346 nucleotides) under soil metagenome. RNAcentral's name for it is "partial contains 5.8S ribosomal RNA, internal transcribed spacer 2, and large subunit ribosomal RNA". The stretch from base 1 to 120 matches the Rfam family "5.8S ribosomal RNA", at positions 35 to 154 of the family's 154-position model. The record is from RNAcentral.